UCGAGAGGCUUCGGCAAUGGGGGAAACCCUGACCGAGCGACGCCGCGUGGAGGAUGAAGGCCCUUGGGUUGUAAACUCCUUUUGUUGGGGAAGAAAUGCGAUCAGGUGAAUAAUCUGGUCGUUUGACGGUACCCGACGAAUAAGCUCCGGCUAACUCCGUGCCAGCAGCCGCGGUAACACGGGGGGAGCAAGCGUUGUUCGGAAUCACUGGGCGUAAAGGGAGUCUAGGCGGUCAGGUAAGUGAGAUGUGAAAUCCCUCGGCUUACCCGAGGACCUGCAUUUCAUACUGCUUGGCUUGAGUACGGGAGAGGAUGUGGGAAUUCCUGGUGUAGCGGUGAAAUGCGUAGAUAUCAGGAGGAACACCGGUGGCGAAAGCGCACAUCUGGCCCGUAACUGACGCUGAAGCUCGAAAGCUAGGGGAGCAAACGGGAUUAGAUACCCCUGUAGUCC
This 450-nucleotide ribosomal RNA is filed under the name uncultured bacterium. RNAcentral's name for it is "bacterial SSU rRNA". It matches the Rfam family "Bacterial small subunit ribosomal RNA", at positions 355 to 796 of the family's 1533-position model. The record is from RNAcentral.